This 433-nucleotide ribosomal RNA is filed under the name uncultured bacterium. Its description in RNAcentral is "partial 16S ribosomal RNA". It matches the Rfam family "Bacterial small subunit ribosomal RNA", at positions 29 to 507 of the family's 1533-position model. The record is from RNAcentral.
AACGAACGCUGGCGGCAUGCCUAACACAUGCAAGUCGAACGAGACCUUCCGGCCUAGUGGCGCUUGCGGGCGGUACGCGUGGGAACCUGCCCUUAGGUUGCGCCUCCCUCCCCGCAAGGCGCGCCAAUACCGGUCAAUGUCAUCGGAGAAAAGCUCUUUCGCCUUUGGCUGGGCCGGCGUUGGCUUAGGUAGUUGGUAGGGUAAAAGCCUACCAAGGCGACAAUCUAUAGCUGGUCUGAGAGGAUGCUCAGCCACACUGGGACUGAGCCACGGCCCAGACUCCUACCGGAGGCAGCGGUGGGGAAUCUUGGCCAAUGGGCGAAAGCCUGAUCCAGCAAUGCCGCGUGAGUGAUCAAGGCCUUAGAGUUGUAAAGCUCUUUUACCCGAGAUGAUUAUGACAGUACCGGGAGAAUAAGCUCCGGCUAACUCCGUG